Molecule: unclassified non-coding RNA, 139 nt
Filed under: uncultured Mortierella
Lineage: Eukaryota; Fungi; Mortierellomycota; Mortierellomycetes; Mortierellales; Mortierellaceae
Description: sequence contains ITS1
Source: RNAcentral
UAAUAAGUGUUUUAUGGCACUUUUUAAAUCCAUAUCCACCUUGUGUGCAAUGUCAGUCGAUCUUCUUCAUGGAGUUCGACCAAACAUCAACCUAAUCUUUUAACUCUUUGUCUGAAAAAUAUUAUGAAUAAACCUUAUA